AAGAAGUGCGUCAUCGCCCAUGACGAUCUUGAUGAUCUUGGGCAUGGUGAUUAUAAAAAUUUGAGAAAGAAGGACCAUGCGUGGAAGGAAGUUGGAGUCUGUAUAAAAUUGAGUGGUAAAUAAAUUAUAUAAAAUUCUUACUUAUAAUUCAUUAAUAGAACUGGAGUGCAAGAAAAGAUGGAAGAGCCUUCGUGACUGUUAUAAAAGAUACAGACGAAUGGAGCAGGUCCCUUCUGGAAGUGGUGCCGAAGCGAAUAGAGAAAAGUGGAAAUUCUUGGAUGUGAUGUCUUUUUUGGAGAGUGAACUAUAAGCAAUGUCAACUAUGAAGUCGAAUAUCUCGAGGAUAGUGACAUUGUUAUAAUUGACGACUCCAAGGAUAACUCAGUACCAGAAAUAAGAAAUAAAAAGGACUGCGCAAAAUUUUAACAAUUUCUCGACAUGGCAGGAAGAAGCAUUAGCGAAACUUGUGCUACCUUUGUUGAAAAUAAUAGGAAGCACAACUCCACCUCCCUGCAAUUUUCGUCAUUGGCAGCAAAAAUCCUUCAAUCUGGUCUUCCGCCAAACGUGAUAAAUGAAAUUGAAGACAAGGUAUCAAAUUUAGUGUUUAGUGAAAUUAAAAAAAAUUAUUCCACUAACAUACUAUAAGUUUUUGAGGUUUCGUUUUUUAAAUGUAAAUAGCUUUCGCAGUUUUUAAGUAAAUCAUUAUAGACUGAAGAACCUUUUUUACAAAAUGUACAUAUGUAAAUAGCUUUUAUAGUUUUUAAGUAAAUCUGUGAAACUGAAGUACAUUGUUUUACAAAAUGUACAUAUCGCUCAUUUACUUGAAGAGUGUCACAACUCAAAUGCAACAUAACAAAUUUAAUAACGGCACAUUCUUAUUUCACGAUUUAUUUUUCUACGCAUCGGAAUGAAAUUUUUAUACAAUAUGGACGCUGAAAUUGCUCACAUUUCUGCAUACUCAACUCAAAAAUCGUGUUUUUUUAGUUAUGACACUAUUCAAGUAAA
Long non-coding RNA from Zeugodacus cucurbitae (melon fly), 1005 nucleotides. RefSeq lists it as uncharacterized. The record is from RefSeq and is a predicted model, not a curated record. The transcript is spliced from 3 exons. NCBI's taxonomy places the organism in Eukaryota, Metazoa, Arthropoda, Insecta, Diptera, Tephritidae.